AAAUUGAAGAGUUUGAUCAUGGCUCAGAUUGAACGCUGGCGGCAGGCCUAACACAUGCAAGUCGAACGGUAACAGGAAGCAGCUUGCUGCUUCGCUGACGAGUGGCGGACGGGUGAGUAAUGUCUGGGAAACUGCCUGAUGGAGGGGGAUAACUACUGGAAACGGUAGCUAAUACCGCAUAAUGUCGCAAGACCAAAGAGGGGGACCUUCGGGCCUCUUGCCAUCGGAUGUGCCCA
This 236-nucleotide ribosomal RNA is filed under the name Escherichia coli. Its description in RNAcentral is "partial 16S ribosomal RNA". It matches the Rfam family "Bacterial small subunit ribosomal RNA", at positions 1 to 233 of the family's 1533-position model. Lineage: Bacteria; Pseudomonadati; Pseudomonadota; Gammaproteobacteria; Enterobacterales; Enterobacteriaceae. The record is from RNAcentral. RNAcentral also lists the same sequence under 1 other name.